This 344-nucleotide unclassified non-coding RNA is filed under the name soil metagenome. RNAcentral's name for it is "partial contains 5.8S ribosomal RNA, internal transcribed spacer 2, and large subunit ribosomal RNA". The stretch from base 1 to 120 matches the Rfam family "5.8S ribosomal RNA", at positions 35 to 154 of the family's 154-position model. The record is from RNAcentral.
GAUGAAGAACGUAGCGAAAUGCGAUAAGUAAUGUGAAUUGCAGAAUUCAGUGAAUCAUCGAAUCUUUGAACGCACAUUGCGCCCGCCAGUAUUCUGGCGGGCAUGCCUGUUCGAGCGUCAUUUCAACCCUCAGGGCCCUUUUGGACCUGGCGUUGGGGCUCGGCCGCUACCCUGCGUCCGUCCCCGAAAGAUAGUGGCGGUCUCGCUGUAGCCUCCUCUGCGUAGUAGUUACAUCUCGCACUGGAACGCGGCGCGGCCAUGCCGUUAAACACCCCACUUCUCAAGGUUGACCUCGGAUCAGGUAGGAAUACCCGCUGAACUUAAGCAUAUCAAUAAGCGGAGGA